UAGGGACUAUUGCAAAUGGGCGAAAGCCUGAUGUAGCAACGCCGCGUGUGCGAUGAAGGUCUUCGGAUUGUAAAGCACUUUUUGGAGGGAUGAGGAAGGACAGUACCUCCAGAAUAAGCCUCGGCUAACUACGUGCCAGCAGCCGCGGUAACACGUAGGAGGCAAGCGUUAUUCGGAUUUACUGGGCGUAAAGCGCGUGCAGGCGGUUUGGAAAGUUGGAUGUGAAAGCUCCUGGCUCAACUGGGAGAGGUCGUUCAAUACUUCCAGACUUGAGAGUGGUAGAGGGAGGUGGAAUUCCGGGUGUAGUGGUGAAAUGCGUAGAUAUCCGGAGGAACACCAGUGGCGAAAGCGGCCUCCUGGACCACUUCUGACGCUCAGACGCGAAAGCCAGGGUAGCAAACGG
RNAcentral lists this ribosomal RNA (403 nucleotides) under uncultured bacterium. Its description in RNAcentral is "bacterial SSU rRNA". It matches the Rfam family "Bacterial small subunit ribosomal RNA", at positions 355 to 775 of the family's 1533-position model. The record is from RNAcentral.